Molecule: long non-coding RNA, 693 nt
Filed under: Manacus vitellinus (golden-collared manakin)
Lineage: Eukaryota; Metazoa; Chordata; Aves; Passeriformes; Pipridae
Description: lncRNA (ENSMVIG00005003270.1)
Source: RNAcentral
GGGGUUGGUUGGUGUGACAGAAGUCCAAUGUUACCCUGGAACAGCAGCUGAAGGCCCAACAGGAUGCUCCAGGGCACCUCAAAAGGCAUUAGGCAGAGUCAGGAGGUCUGAACCUACAAAGAAUUCCUAGAGUGUCAGAUUUUGCUGUGUGCAGUACUGGUGUUGGCCAUGGUGGUGCACUGUUCUGAACAGUGGUGAUAAGCAAACUGAAUGUUACCUUUCCUGGUUUUAAUGACAACUAGACAGUGCCCCUGCAAUAGGUAUAUACAUAUGAUUAUGUUAAGGACAAGCUGUCAGGUCAUGUGGAAAACCACGAGCAUCUUUCUAUUUAAUUUCUCGUGGGGCUUCAUUUACAUUUGAUACACAGAAACAUGAGUAAAUAAUGCACUGUCUUUUGAAGAAAAUAAGCCCUUAGUAAUAGAAGAGAUUGUCUAAGUGCUGUAUGACUGCAUAGGGAUUAGACCACUCAACUGGAAGACGAGAACUGGAUAACCACCUGUGUGAGGCUUAGACUCUCACUUGCAGAGAUGCUUUUCAGAGGCAGGUGCUUAAACACUUGCUUCCUUCAGAACAUACCUGCAUUAGAUGGCUCUCAAGAACAUUCCUCCGCCCAACCUAUGAAACACUCCCAAUGUCUUAAGCAAGCUUAAGGCAACAUAACACAAGCUCAAGACUUGGUAAGGACUAAACACC